UUUGGUUGCUGACAAAACUCCUGGGAUCGAUAGCGACGUCAAAUAAUUUAUCCAGAAGGUAGAAUCAUCUAAUUAAGCAGUCUAGUCACAAUCGAAAAAAGUAAACGAUCGGCUAUUCUUUAGACUUGAGAAGGUGAGUAGGAUUGAGAUAGGUAGGGAACAAGAAAACGGACCGAAUGGACGGAAUUUUCCGGGAAAAUGGAACAAUCGCGGUCGGAGCGGUGGAUUUUCCCGGGAGAAUAAACCGACCGGAGAGGCAAGCGUGAAAGAAGAGAAAGAGAG
This 282-nucleotide long non-coding RNA is filed under the name Citrus sinensis (sweet orange). RNAcentral describes it as "long non-coding RNA (CSIN_LNC004676)". The record is from RNAcentral. Lineage: Eukaryota; Viridiplantae; Streptophyta; Magnoliopsida; Sapindales; Rutaceae.